GGACAACUGCCUGAGGACUGGAAUAAUCCCGGGAAACUGGGGGUAAUUCCAGAUAUGUCAGAACUCCUGGAAUGGGUUCUGGCAGAAAGGCUCCGGCGCCUCAGGAUGGGUCUGCGGCCUAUCAGGGUAGUAGUGGGUGUAACGUACCUACUAGCCUACGACGGGUACGGGUUGUGAGAGCAAGAGCCCGGAGAUGGAUUCUGAGACAUGAAUCCAGGCCCUACGGGGUGCAGCAGGCGCGAAAACUUUACAAUGCGGGCAACCGCGAUAAGGGGACCUCGAGUGCUGGGUUACAAACCUGGCUGUUGGGCUGCCUAAAAAGCAGUCUAUAGCAAGGGCCGGGCAAGACCGGUGCCAGCCGCCGCGGUAACACCGGCGGCUCGAGUGGUAACCGCUGUUAUUGGGUCUAAAGGGUCUGUAGCCUGCCGGCUAAGUCUCUUGGGAAAUCUGGCAUCUCAAGUGUCAGGCUGCCAGGGGAUACUGGUCAGCUUGGGACCGGGAGAGGUGAGAGGUACCUCGGGGGUAGGAGUGAAAUCUUGUAAUCCUCGAGGGACCACCAGUGGCGAAGGCGUCUCACCAGAACGGAUCCGACGGCAAGGGACGAAAGCUAGGGGCACGAACCGGAUUAGAUACCCGGGUAGUCCUAGCCGUAAACGAUACUCGCUAGGUGUCGGCCACGGUGCGACCGUGGUCGGUGCCGUAGGGAAGCCGUGAAGCGAGCCACCUGGGAAGUACGGCCGCAAGGCUGAAACUUAAAGGAAUUGGCGGGGGAGUACGGCUCAGUAACACG
This 790-nucleotide ribosomal RNA is filed under the name uncultured Methanosaeta sp. RNAcentral's name for it is "bacterial SSU rRNA". It matches the Rfam family "Archaeal small subunit ribosomal RNA", at positions 102 to 893 of the family's 1478-position model. Lineage: Archaea; Methanobacteriati; Methanobacteriota; Methanomicrobia; Methanotrichales; Methanotrichaceae. The record is from RNAcentral.